CUAUUUUUUGCCCGGUGGGGGAGCGCGGCCCCUCGCGGAGCACAGAGGUUUCAAGAUGCACCUGUGAUGUAGCUUGUGUGUGAGCUUUGUCCCUGUGACACGAAUACCUGACCAGAAUAACUUGGAGGAGGGACAGUUUACUUGGGGCUCACGGUUCACAUCAUGGCCAAGGGGCGUGGGGAGGAGUGGGCCCCAACUGUGGCAGGAGGAAGAAGAGGGAAGGGGCCAAAGGGCAGCUGUGUCCCUCCAGGGACCACCUCCUGGCCACGCCCGCCUGCUGACAGUGACCACCAGACAGUCCCGUCACACUGGUGGGCCGACCAGGUCCCAGCCCGGCCAUUUCCCCUCCUAACACCCUGCAUGGACGCAGGAGCGUGCUGCGGCCGGAGCCGUCUGCCCACUUUCCGAGGUUGGAGCGUGACCUCCCGGGGAGCGGUCAGGGCUGGGGAUGGUGCUGAGUUGGGGCAGUACACAGCAGGGGCCAUCAGUCAGGGAUGGCAUCAGUGUCAGUGAAGGCCUCGAGGGGCUACAGGUGGGGAGUCGGUGCCUCGGGACACCUUCUGGCCUGCGGGGACCCAGCAAGAGGCCGGCUCUGAGGCAGAGCCAGGCUCCUGGACAGGGCUGCUGCCCAGUUCUCCCCACAGUGCUGGGGAGUGGGCUGAGGUCAGCUGAAGGCAUUUGUCACAGCAGCAGGAAGGACGAAGACGGCAGUGGUCAGCUGCUCUGGUUGGUCGCGACGUGGUGCUGGACCCGCAGGGUGGGCUCAUCAGCCCGUUCCUGUUGCCUCCAGCUCCAGGCCAUCAGGAGUCAAGUCACGGGACACCGGGGGGAAGCCUUUGCACAGCACCACCGCUGCGGUGGGGUCACCUGUCCUUUGUCCCGGCCCUGGCUGGGUCCCUUCCUGUGCCCCGCCCUGGCCCCCUGAAGGGUCGCGCUGUCCUCCUAGAGCUUGUGAAUAUGGCAUUCUGCAGGUGACCUGGGUUAUGGACCUGAGGGCAGGCAUCGUCCUGGGUACCUGGCUGUGCCCCGUCUGGUCACACGAGCUGGAGGGAGACGCCGCGGGAGGCAGCCGGGUGUCCCUGUGUCCUCAUCACCCCUCAUCACCCCAUGCGCUCAGUCUUCUUUGGAAUUCUAAUUCUCACGGAUGGUUAGUUCUCAGUGUUCGAAGUCCUCGCUGGGCACGGGGUGCUCCCCGCGUCCCCACAGGCUGACGGGAUCCUCAUCCCUCCUCUUUGGUGACGUUCGAUCCUUUCGUCCCCUUAUUGUUGAGCCGAGUUCACAGCUGCCACCUGCCCGGCCUUUUCUAUUUGCCUCAAUUGUCCUUUGCCGUCUGCCUUCUGCGAGGGGACGAGGGGACGAGGGGACGAGGGGACGAGGGACGCCAGCACAGCACGCUCCCCGUUGUUGGCCACCCAGGGUCCCUCCUCCCGGGACUUGCUGGUUCUCUCACCGCCUGCCCUGGAGUGGCUGCCCCUGCUUCAGGUGUGACACCCUCCAGGACGGACACUGGGUCUCCUGGAGCCUCGCGUUGUCCCUGAGUCCCAGGACUUCCGUCCCGCGCCGGCCGUGGUCCGCUGGGUGUGCCCGGAGCUCCGCCACGGCCUCCUGCUCGGCGUCUGCUGAGCUUCUCAGAUCUCGGGUGAGGUUCUCCCUGGUCCCGUUUGGACACUCCCAGAUAUUUCUUCAGGUUUUCCCGUCCCCACCCCACAGGACUUCGAUGGCAGAACUUCAAGCCGCGGCCUCGGCAGCACAGCGGCGCCUGCUCAGGGUUUCCGCCCCUGACCCCUGCGUUUCGUCGUGGUGGCGUCUCUUGCGUCUUCAGGCUCACCCGCAUUUCACCUGCCUUCCCAAGAGGGUGACUGGGCUUGUGUCCUGAGUAAGGACAGGGCUCGGUCAAGGGCCUGCUCCCUGCUCUUCAUUGAGCCCCGCCGUGUACUGCCCUAUGCAAAGUGGCCCAGCUGUGUCCAUGACUCCAGGGGGUCCCUGUGGAGCAAACUCUGCAUCACAUGCAGCUGGGGUCAUUGGAACUGGAGGGUACAGACCUCUGCAGGGGUCUGAACCCUUUGCCUUAUGUAAAUGAACUGUGGCUGGUGCUCGGUCUCCUCAUGGCAACCGAGCCCCCAACCCUCCUCACAACCUGUUCUGGGUGAUUAUUGUACUCAUUUUGCAGAUGGGGAAACUGAGGCACAGAGAGGUUGAGUCACCUGGUCACGGGCACUCAGUGAGAAGCACCAGAGCCUAGAUUUGAACCUGGUGGUCUAAAUCUGGAGCCCCAGUUCUCGUGCACCCCAUUGUUUGGCUCUGGAACCCCCUUUACACAAGGGGACAUGAGCACAGAUAGGGACAGUCACCACCCAAGGUGACAGGGCAAGCGGUGGUGGAGGGGCACUGGCUGUAGCAGCAGCCUCUGGCCGUGCCUGGGAGGGGCCGGCCUGGGUGUCUGGGGCUCACCUCGCUGGCCGGGGACUUCCUGAGGACAGAGACGCAGGGCUGCGGUGCCCAGCUGGUGUGGGACAUGCAGUGGGAUCCCUCAUGGUGGCCGUCAGGGGCCUUGGCCUCACCAUUCACCCAGCAAGGUCGGCUCCCGAGUCUGGGGGCUCGUCUGUCACGGGGGCCACACCACGCCCUCCAGGACCAGCGUGGUCACACAGGUGAGGCACGUGGUUAGGGGCUGAGGCCGCAAUGAACACAGAGACGGCAGUCACGCCUGCUGGCGCCCCACCCUGGGUCUGCUCUGCCCCGGGUGACCCAGUCUCCUUCCUGGGAUGGCCGGGAGGCUCUGAUGGACGGUGCCUUCGUAGACUCCUGAGCAGGAAGAAAACAAAGCCAAGGACACUCCCUGCUCUGAGGUCUCGACCAUUUCCUCUUUCACAGGUGGAGAGCAGCACAUCAAAACCAGGAGCCCAGCCGCAAGGUUGCUGUGGGUCCAGGAAACUCCACCCAGGCCGCAGAGCUGAGCUGGGUGGCAGGAGGGCUGCGGAGGGCCGCUGGUGCCGCUGGGGCCUGCGCCAAGCACCACACGCACAGCGCCCUUUCCCGGGGGCUCUGGCUGCUGCCAUGGGACCCUGCAGUGCCCAGAGUGCCCCAGAGUGCCCAUGAUGUCCCAGAGUGCCCCAGAGUGCCCAUGAUGUCCCAGAGUGCCCCACAGUGCCCAUGAUGUCCCAGAGUGUCCCACAGUGCCCACAGUGCCUACAGUGCCCCAGAGUGCCCAUGAUGUCCCAGAGUGCCCCACAGUGCCCACAGUGCCUACAGUGCCCCAGAGUGCCCAUGAUGUCCCAAAGUGUCCCAGAGUGCCCACAGCGCCCAGAGUGCCCAUGAUGUCCCAGAGUGUCCCAGAGUGCCCACAGUGCCUACAGUGCCCCAGAGUGCCCAUGAUGUCCCAGAGUGCCCCAGAGUGCCCAUGAUGUCCCAGAGUGUCCCAGAGUGCCCCACAGUGCCCAGAGUGCCCAGAGUGCCCCAGAGUGUCCAUGAUGUCCCAGAGUGCCCAGAGUACCCACUGUGCCUACUGUGCCCAGAGUGCCCCAGAGUGUCCAUGAUGUCCCAGAGUGCCCCAGAGUGCCCACAGUGCCCCAGAGUGUCCAUGAUGUCCCCAAGUGUCCCAGAGUGCCCUCAGUGCUCAGAGUGCCCCAGAGUGCCCAUGAUGUCCCAGAGUGCCCCAGAGUGCCCACAGUGCCCCAGAGUGUCCAUGAUGUCCCAGAGUGCCCACUAUGCCCACUGUGCCCUGUGGCCGGGUUUGGCCCUGGGCCCCUGCAGAGCACCCUGGACCUGCGCUGUCCCACUACUUCUGAUGUGGCCAUGAUGCCGGGCUGCAGGGAGCUUCCCUGGCACAGUGGUGGUCCGAGCCUGGUUCUGGGCACAGGGUCACGGCUGGCGCUGCAGAGGUGCCCAGGGAAGCUGCAGCCGAGCUUGCCAGGGCCCAGGGGAGUGUGGUGACUGUGCCCAGAGCCCCCAGGAGCAGAGCCAAGCAGGGCGCACGCGGGUGUGGGAGCAGGUGUCUGUGACGUGCCCCCCCCCCAGCUCGUCUCCACCCUGAUGCUGCACAGAGUCCCCGAGGGAAUCCUGUCACUGUCAGUGAGACCCACAGGGGGCCUGGAGGGGUGUUAUGUCAUCUCUACUGAAUGGAAUCGACCCUGCCAAUCUGAUGACAGAAAUGACACUGUGUGGCUUUCUCUUCCUUAAACCUGCAGAACCCA
Molecule: long non-coding RNA, 4193 nt
Filed under: Marmota monax (woodchuck)
Lineage: Eukaryota; Metazoa; Chordata; Mammalia; Rodentia; Sciuridae
Source: RNAcentral